This 495-nucleotide ribosomal RNA is filed under the name uncultured bacterium. RNAcentral's name for it is "partial 16S ribosomal RNA". It matches the Rfam family "Bacterial small subunit ribosomal RNA", at positions 28 to 507 of the family's 1533-position model. The record is from RNAcentral.
GACAAACGCUGGCGGCGUGCCUAAUACAUGCAAGUAGAACGCUGAAGGAGGAGCUUGCUUCUCUGGAUGAGUUGCGAACGGGUGAGUAACGCGUAGGUAACCUGCCUGGUAGCGGGGGAUAACUAUUGGAAACGAUAGCUAAUACCGCAUAAUAGUAGAUGUUGCAUGACAUUUGCUUAAAAGGUGCAAUUGCAUCACUACCAGAUGGACCUGCGUUGUAUUAGCUAGUUGGUGGGGUAACGGCUCACCAAGGCGACGAUACAUAGCCGACCUGAGAGGGUGAUCGGCCACACUGGGACUGAGACACGGCCCAGACUCCUACGGGAGGCAGCAGUAGGGAAUCUUCGGCAAUGGACGGAAGUCUGACCGAGCAACGCCGCGUGAGUGAAGAAGGUUUUCGGAUCGUAAAGCUCUGUUGUAAGAGAAGAACGAGUGUGAGAGUGGAAAGUUCACACUGUGACGGUAUCUUACCAGAAAGGGACGGCUAACUACGUG